This 375-nucleotide unclassified non-coding RNA is filed under the name Hevea brasiliensis (rubber tree). The record is from RNAcentral. Lineage: Eukaryota; Viridiplantae; Streptophyta; Magnoliopsida; Malpighiales; Euphorbiaceae.
UUUCUUCCUCUCCCUUGCUUGUUGUGCUGAUACUCUAUUUCUCAACAAUCUUUUUAACCUUUUGUUUUCUUUGUCAGCUGGGCUUCUUCCUCUCUUCCUUUGAGUCCCAGCUGAUGGUUGAGCUUGACCGGCGGCCGAUACUCCAUCUCUUCCAGAAGCUGACGUUGUCCCCGUCGCUUCUCCGCCCAUCUCCGGCACUCUUCUGAUCUCAUCAUCACUCUCCAUACCUUCUUUGAGUUCAUGAUGUAAAGCUGAACUAGAUGAUCUCUCACUACUUGAAGGUAGUGAACUAGCGGCAAUAGAACUCGUCGCUUGCUCUUGCAUUUUUCUCUACACUUGAAAAAAACACUAAAUUAAGGGAAAAGUACAGUUUCG